RNAcentral lists this ribosomal RNA (497 nucleotides) under uncultured bacterium. RNAcentral's name for it is "partial 16S ribosomal RNA". It matches the Rfam family "Bacterial small subunit ribosomal RNA", at positions 28 to 507 of the family's 1533-position model. The record is from RNAcentral.
GAUGAACGCUGGCGGCGUGCCUAAUACAUGCAAGUCGAGCGAACAGACGAGGAUCUUGCUCCUCUGACGUUAGCGGCGGACGGGUGAGUAACACGUGGAUAACCUACCUAUAAGACUGGGAUAACUUCGGGAAACCGGAUCUAAUACCGGAUAAUAUAUUGAACCGCAUGGUUCAUUAGUGAAAGACGGUUUUGCUGACCCUUAUAGAUGGAUCCGCGCCGCAUUAGCUAGUUGGUAAGGUAACGGCUUACCAAGGCAACGAUGCGUAGCCGACCUGAGAGGGUGAUCGGCCACACUGGAACUGAGACACGGUCCAGACUCCUACGGGAGGCAGCAGUAGGGAAUCUUCCGCAAUGGGCGAAAGCCUGACGGAGCAACGCCGCGUGAGUGAUGAAGGUCUUCGGAUCGUAAAACUCUGUUAUUAGGGAAGAACAAAUGUGUAAGUAACUAUGCACGUCUUGACGGUACCUAAUCAGAAAGCCACGGCUAACUACGUG